AGGCCAGCUUGGUCUACAGAGAUCCGCCUGCCUCUGCCUCCCGAGUGCUGGGAUUAAAGGCAUGCUCCACCAACACCCGGCCAAUUUAUCUGUUUUAAAAAUGCCUUGACUUCAAAAUUUAAGUCUAAGGACAUGUUACUUUGGAAAAGAGGUUCUGCUUUUGUUUCCACAGAAGAUGAAAAGCUGUGGAUUCCUUCCAGACUAAUAUGGUUUGAUCAAGCAAGACCCCUGAAGCAGUGGUCCAGGAGAUCCAAAAUCCAAGACAGCAAAGACUAUGCAGCCUUGCAGAAUACUACAGCCAGGUCUUUGAAGUGUUUGAAGAUCAAAUAUCUAUGUCUGACUAACCUCAUAGGUAUAGGAAGUAUGGUGCUGGGAUUAAAGGCGUGCACCACCAACGACAGGCUGGCAGAAGAGACUUUAAAGAUGUAAUUAGGAGACCCAGAGGCAGUGCUGGACUACCCAGGACUCGGGAUUAAGAGGUAGACAGAUCUCUAUGAGUUCAAGGCCACCUACCUGCCACAUUGAAGAUAGAAGGAUUCAUUCUCCAGCCCCCCUGUGGAGAGGCAGCAGUCUGAGGCUUGGUGAGAGCUGGGGGAGACAGAAUCAGCCCUUUCAGCUUGAGGCAGAGCUUGGAAGCUGGACCUGAUGCCUCACACUUGUAAUUAAUGACCCAAGGCCUCAGGUGAACCGAGAAACUCCAGCAGAGGAGUUGACAAGACGAUAAAACUUGACCACAAGAAGGUCAACAUACUAACCUCCUUUGGUUUUUACAACUUUGAGACAAUUUAACUGGAACAGAUCUGCAGAGGAAAACUGCC
Molecule: long non-coding RNA, 818 nt
Filed under: Cricetulus griseus (Chinese hamster)
Lineage: Eukaryota; Metazoa; Chordata; Mammalia; Rodentia; Cricetidae
Description: lncRNA (ENSCGRG00015035249.1)
Source: RNAcentral